This 433-nucleotide ribosomal RNA is filed under the name uncultured bacterium. RNAcentral describes it as "partial 16S ribosomal RNA". It matches the Rfam family "Bacterial small subunit ribosomal RNA", at positions 29 to 507 of the family's 1533-position model. The record is from RNAcentral.
AACGAACGCUGGCGGCAGGCCUAACACAUGCAAGUCGAGCGGACCUUUCGGGGUCAGCGGCGGACGGGUGAGUAACGCGUGGGAAUAUGCCCUUCUCUACGGAAUAGUCCUGGGAAACUGGGGGUAAUACCGUAUACGCCCUUUGGGGGAAAGAUUUAUCGGGGAAGGAUUAGCCCGCGUUGGAUUAGGUAGUUGGUGGGGUAAUGGCCUACCAAGCCGACGAUCCAUAGCUGGUUUGAGAGGAUGAUCAGCCACACUGGGACUGAGACACGGCCCUGACUCCUACGGGAGGCAGCAGUGGGGAAUCUUAGACAAUGGGGGCAACCCUGAUCUAGCCAUGCCGCGUGAGUGAUGAAGGCCUUAGGGUUGUAAAGCUCUUUCAGCUGGGAAGAUAAUGACGGUACCAGCAGAAGAAGCCCCGGCUAACUCCGUG